Molecule: non-coding RNA, 1583 nt
Organism: Monodelphis domestica (gray short-tailed opossum)
Lineage: Eukaryota; Metazoa; Chordata; Mammalia; Didelphimorphia; Didelphidae
Source: RefSeq, a predicted model, not a curated record
AAAGGUUAGCUAGCAGAACUAUAACUAGGGCAAUAUGACUGGGUUCUUGCCCCAGGGGGUUAAAUUUUAGAAGGGGCUAAUGACACUUGGAUCUUACUAGUUUGUCAUUUGAGUUUAGUCAACAAGCUUUUAUUAAGCUUUACAAUAUGCCAGGCAUUCAUUGUCCCCAAGCAGGUUACUUUAGUUUUUCCCUAAAAAGAAUUGAGAUAUUUCUUAAGACUUGAUUGAUUCAGGAAAUUAAGAUUGCAGAGUGUUGACAUCACUUCCUCUGAAGACAAAGCAGUCAAGGGAUUGCUAGGUGGCUCAGUGGAUAGAGAGCAAGGCUUCGAGAUGGGAAGUCCUGGGUUCAAAUUUGACCUUAGACACGUCCUAGCUGUGUGACCCUAGGAAUUUCAGAUUUGUGUUUGAAGAUCUCAAACACCUCGCAGCUAUACUAGUCUCCAAACUUGAGACUUUCAUGUCUUGACGCUUCCUCCAUUGUUGAAAGAAGUUCCUCUGGCCUCCUCCCCUAAUGGUCAGAGAAGCAACAGAAAGCUCCAAACCAGUGUGGACUGAAAAGCUCAUCAACCAUAGGAGCCUGGCAGCAGGAAGCACAACUCCGUUUGCCAGAACAGGAUGAAACAGUUUUCACACUCGAGAGAACAGUGAUCAUGUCUAGCUGACCUCCGUUGAAUACUUGUGAGAACAACAACAAUAAUGAAGGAUAAUGAUAAUAAUAAGCACCCCUUAUAGAGUGUCCUGGGAUUUGCAAAGGGCUUGAAGUCUCAAAGUACAUGUUGUAAUCAGAUACAGAGGACCCCGAAAUUGUUUACAAGAAACACGUGAGGACUUCCCUGGAGGAAGGGGCAGAUGAGAAGAAUUUGCCCCAAAGGCCACGAAGGGAGCUGAUGAAGGUGCUGGGGAGUGUGUAGAGCUUGGUCAGACAUCAAGGACACUGAGGUCAUCCCCUGCAACCUAUUGCCAGUUCUUCUGACUCUUGUCUUGCCACUGGAUUGCGAUGGCUUUGAAACUAUGAUUACAACUUCAAGCCACUCUGCCUCUCUUCAAUCCAACCCACGCUGGAGUUGAGACAUCACCCUGUAAUGCCACUGGUCCUCUUCAAAAAUGAAGGAUGAACAGCAAUUGGCAGAGGAUAGAGGAUACAGAAGCCUUCUAAUCAUCAAGCUGUGCUCUCUGGAAGGUGAAGAAUGGAAGGAGCUGAGAACGAAGGCUAGGAACCAAGUGGAACAAAGUGAGUGUUGAAGGGUAUUCUGACCAGUCACCAAAAAGGGAGGAUCACCGGAAGAUGAAAUUGAGAUUCAGUGAUAAGAAACCAGGUAGUAAAGUAUGGACAAAACAUUUGUGAUUGCCAAAGGAGUAUGGGAGGUGGAAAAUGACAGAUAACUCUGCUAGAAAGGUCAAAUUCGAACUCAGGUUUUCCUAGCUCCAGGUCCAAUAUUCUAUCUGCUAUGGCACCUACCUGCUCUUUCUCUUUUUUCUUUUAUCAUACCAAUUACUCAUUUUAUGAUUGUUUUUAUCUAAUUAUUGUAUAUCUUUAAAUAAUGCUUUUGCUCAUUGUCCUCAUGUGUGCAUGUCUUAUUUAC